RNAcentral lists this ribosomal RNA (740 nucleotides) under uncultured Hyphomicrobiales bacterium. RNAcentral's name for it is "bacterial SSU rRNA". It matches the Rfam family "Bacterial small subunit ribosomal RNA", at positions 8 to 796 of the family's 1533-position model. The record is from RNAcentral. Lineage: Bacteria; Pseudomonadati; Pseudomonadota; Alphaproteobacteria; Hyphomicrobiales.
AGAGUUUGAUCAUGGCUCAGAACGAACGCUGGCGGCAGGCUUAACACAUGCAAGUCGAACGCACCGCAAGGUGAGUGGCAGACGGGUGAGUAACGCGUGGGAACGUGCCCUUCAGUUCGGGAUAACCCAGGGAAACUUGGGCUAAUACCGGAUACGUGCGAGAGCAGAAAGAUUCAUCGCUGAAGGAUCGGCCCGCGUCUGAUUAGCUAGUUGGUAGGGUAAUGGCCUACCAAGGCGACGAUCAGUAGCUGGUCUGAGAGGAUGAUCAGCCACAUUGGGACUGAGACACGGCCCAAACUCCUACGGGAGGCAGCAGUGGGGAAUAUUGGACAAUGGGCGCAAGCCUGAUCCAGCCAUGCCGCGUGAGUGAUGAAGGCCUUAGGGUUGUAAAGCUCUUUCGUCCGGGACGAUAAUGACGGUACCGGAGGAAGAAGCCCCGGCUAACUUCGUGCCAGCAGCCGCGGUAAUACGAAGGGGGCUAGCGUUGUUCGGAAUCACUGGGCGUAAAGGGCGCGUAGGCGGCCUGAUAAGUCGGGGGUGAAAGCCUGUGGCUCAACCACAGAAUUGCCUUCGAUACUGUCGGGCUUGAGACCGGAAGAGGUAAGUGGAACUGCGAGUGUAGAGGUGAAAUUCGUAGAUAUUCGCAAGAACACCAGUGGCGAAGGCGGCUUACUGGUCCGGUUCUGACGCUGAGGCGCGAAAGCGUGGGGAGCAAACAGGAUUAGAUACCCCGGUAGUCC